CAACAGAUCACAGAAACCUAUGUUAUAGUCAACAUACCUUUUAAUGGAUGUGGUACAAUAAGACAGGUGAAAAAUAACACUAUCAUGUAUUCCAAUGUAAACAGAACAUCUCCUUCUGGUUAUAUUAUCACAAGGAAAAGCAACUUUCAGUUUCACGUUACCUGCACAAUGAACCAGGACACAAUGGUAGAAAUAAUACUCACACAAGAGAGAGUUUCUGGAAAAAGAUGAUGUACGCAGCCCAUUUGUUCUUGCCACUUUGCUCCUGGCAGGAGUUGUUUUGGUUCUCACUGGGGCCCUUUUGAGAAGUAAACUGAGAAGAGGAACUGAGUACCAAGUGCUGUGAGAGGCAAGGCAUCACGUGAGGUGGCUCAGCCUCGUUCUUCAUGAAUGUAUUCAAUGUCAAACAUUUGCACAGUGAUUUAAUAGAUAACAGUAAAUUAAUAAAGGAAAGUACUUGGCUUUCA
Molecule: long non-coding RNA, 467 nt
Filed under: Gopherus agassizii (Agassiz's desert tortoise)
Lineage: Eukaryota; Metazoa; Chordata; Testudines; Testudinidae
Description: lncRNA (ENSGAGG00000001436.1)
Source: RNAcentral